CUAAUGGGAAGGGUGCAGCGGGGAGAGCUGUGCUGGAUGCCAAUUCAUAUGUUGAUACUCGUUGAUUGAUACUAGUGUUUCAAACUUACUUUCUUCAUUGUUAUUUCCAACUAAUGGAAUAUUUCUGAAGUUAAGUUUUUUUUAAUGUAGAUUUUGUUGGGGUGACAUGGGGGCUUAGUUGCCCUGUUGCCUCUUCUGCUCUGUGUGUCGAGUUUUCGUGUUGCUCUUAUGUUGUGCUGGUUUCCUCCAGUAGUCCAAAGACAUGCAGUUAGGCUUGUUGGUGUUUCUAAAUAUAGACUAUGAUUGUUUGUUUGUGUGUGUGUGUGUGUGUGUGUGUGCGUGCGUGCGUGCGUGCGUGUGUGUGUGUGUAUACACAGCAGAGUGUACCCCCAGAAUCCUUCUGUUACCUUAACCAAGAUAAGCACUUAGAACAUUGAUAGAUUGCUGAGUUUAUUUCUUAGCAAUAAACGUCUGGAGAGCUAUGACGCUGUGUAUUGCUGCAUUUUAUUAUACAAUAAGUUAACCCAUCAAUUCACUGGAAAUUUAAGACUGUACGCAUAAAUACUGAAACCAGCCAGGAGUCAUGCUCUGUUAUUGAUAUGUUUUAUGGUCUUAUUGAAAUCUUAUCAUCUAUACAUCCAUCUCUAAACUGUUUAUCCUGGACAGGGUUGCGGGAGAGUCGGGACAAAACCCAUCGCAGACAAAACAGAACAUAAAACAGGAGUAAGUUAUGCCCUCUCUGGGAAAAGGAUUUUUUCAGCCAAAUUACCAUUUAAACUUUUGCUACACUGGUGAAUGUUAAAUGGGGAAAACCUUUCAAAUUAAACACAUUUCUUAAGGGAUAAAGAAUUAUUCAAGCUGUCACUGCAAGGAAUGAAAACUGUUUAAAGGAAGACUCAUAAAAUGACCGGAAUUUACACUGACUCUGAAACUGGAAGGAACAGAGAUACAGAAGAAAGUUACACAGCUUUGUGCAUUAUGAGUACGUGUGUGAAGGAAUCAUUUCCUGGAUCUGCUGGAGCGCCGCUGAUGGUCCUUCCAUUUCCCGGAAUAUUCCUGAGCUCUGAACUUACAACUCGAUAGGACAGGUGCUUCAGCUGUGUCAAUGCACCACAGGUCGCAAUGAAGAAAAGAGGCACAAGGUCACUUCACCACCAUCUUUCACCACCACCAGACCCAAAAGCAGUCCUACUGUUACCAUGGCAGCAUGUAAAAAUGGAGGGAUCAGGUGAUUUAUACCCUGUGCUGUAUUGGGCGUAGCCAGCUAAACCGCACGGUAUUACUGACAGGUGAAGAUCCGCCUGUAUGUCUUGCAUGUAUCCCCACUUUGACUAUUAAGCACGUUUUGUUCCAUUGUCCUUCUCUAAGCUCCUUUUGCUGUAUUUAUCAUUUUCCUGACUUUUUUGACAGGUUUUAGUAAAAUCGAGCCAGAA
Molecule: long non-coding RNA, 1433 nt
Organism: Brienomyrus brachyistius
Lineage: Eukaryota; Metazoa; Chordata; Actinopteri; Osteoglossiformes; Mormyridae
Exons: 2
Source: RefSeq, a predicted model, not a curated record